CAGCAGCCACGGUAAAACGUAGGUGGCAAGCGUUGUCCGGAAUUAUUGGGCGUAAAGGGCUCGCAGGCGGUUUCUUAAGUCUGAUGUGAAAGCCCCCAGCUCAACCGGGGAGGGUCAUUGGAAACUGGGAAACUUGAGUGCAGAAGAGGAGAGUGGAAUUCCACGUGUAGCGGUGAAAUGCGUAGAGAUGUGGAGGAACACCAGUGGCGAAGGCGACUCUCUGGUCUGUAACUGACGCUGAGGAGCGAAAGCGUGGGGAGCGAACAGGAUUAGAUACCCGAGUAGUCCCUGUCUCUUAUAC
RNAcentral lists this ribosomal RNA (301 nucleotides) under uncultured bacterium. RNAcentral describes it as "partial 16S ribosomal RNA". It matches the Rfam family "Bacterial small subunit ribosomal RNA", at positions 509 to 807 of the family's 1533-position model. The record is from RNAcentral.